AGCCGGGUGACCGAGUGGCGAGGUAAUGGUCUGCAAAACCUUUAACAGUGGUUCGAAUCCACUCCCGGCGU
Molecule: transfer RNA, 71 nt
Filed under: Mucilaginibacter auburnensis
Lineage: Bacteria; Pseudomonadati; Bacteroidota; Sphingobacteriia; Sphingobacteriales; Sphingobacteriaceae
Also listed under: 1 other name
Rfam family: tRNA
About the family: Transfer RNA (tRNA) molecules are approximately 80 nucleotides in length. Their secondary structure includes four short double-helical elements and three loops (D, anti-codon, and T loops). Further hydrogen bonds mediate the characteristic L-shaped molecular structure. tRNAs have two regions of fundamental functional importance: the anti-codon, which is responsible for specific mRNA codon recognition, and the 3' end, to which the tRNAs corresponding amino acid is attached (by aminoacyl-tRNA synthetases). tRNAs cope with the degeneracy of the genetic code in two manners: having more than one tRNA (with a specific anti-codon) for a particular amino acid; and 'wobble' base-pairing, i.e. permitting non-standard base-pairing at the 3rd anti-codon position.
Source: Rfam by way of RNAcentral